GAUGAACGCUAGCGGGAGGCUUAAUACAUGCAAGUCGCGGGGUAACAGGUUCUUCGGAAUGCUGACGACCGGCGCACGGGUGCGUAACGCGUACACAAUCUACCGUAUAGAGGGGAGCAGCCUAUGGAAACGUAGAUUAAUGCCCCAUACGCUCUUAAAGUCGCAUGGCUUAAAGAGGAAAGGAGCGAUCCGCUAUAUGAUGAGUGUGCGUCCCAUUAGGUAGUUGGUGAGGUAACGGCUCACCAAGCCGACGAUGGGUAGCUGUUCUGAGAGGAAGAUCAGCCACACGGGCACUGAGACACGGGCCCGACUCCUACGGGAGGCAGCAGUAAGGAAUAUUGGGCAAUGGGGGCAACCCUGACCCAGCUAUCCCGCGUGUGGGAAGACGGCCCUAUGGGUUGUAAACCACUUUUACAAGGGAAGAAGGACACUGGUUUUGCAGUGUAUUGACGGUACCUUGGGAAUAAGCACCGGCUAACUCCG
Molecule: ribosomal RNA, 483 nt
Filed under: uncultured Bacteroidota bacterium
Lineage: Bacteria; Pseudomonadati; Bacteroidota
Description: bacterial SSU rRNA
Rfam family: Bacterial small subunit ribosomal RNA
Source: RNAcentral